CCAGAAGCUGCACGUGUGAAAAGGGCCUCGCACUGGAGCUGGAAGCUGAUUAAUAUGGAAUUCCAGCCAACUGCAGAAUUGAAAUCACCCAAUGCAGACUGACCUGAGGCCCCACUGUUCAAGAUACCAGGCUGACUCUGAGAGCCAUAAUACCAACUGAACUGCCAGAGUCUUUGGCAUCUGUGCUGCCCUACACAGCACCUACCCUCGCCCACCACUGGAGAAGCCAGGAGUGUUCCUGGACAGUGGAAGAGGUGCUGGGGAUGUGCUCACAGUCUCCUGC
Molecule: long non-coding RNA, 283 nt
Filed under: Moschus moschiferus (Siberian musk deer)
Lineage: Eukaryota; Metazoa; Chordata; Mammalia; Artiodactyla; Moschidae
Description: lncRNA (ENSMMSG00000014461.1)
Source: RNAcentral